AAGGUUACACUGUCUCCUUUUUCUAAUCAGUAAAACUAAUCUUCCCGUGAAGAAGCGGGGAUCACUAUAUAAGACGAGAAGACCCUAUGGAGCUUUAAACGAAAUAACAUCUACCAACUUAACCAAUAAUUUCAGAAAAUUAACAAUAAACCCGGUAUAAUGAUUACUAGUUUUAGGUUGGGGUGACCGCGGAGCAAAAAACAACCUCCGCAUUGAAUGGAGUUACACUCCUAAACAAAAAGCCACAACUUUAUGUAUCAAUACAUUGACAUCCAUUGACCCAUUAAUUUGAUCAACGAACCAAGUUACCCUAGGGAUAACAGCGCAAUCCAUUUCAAGAGCUCCUAUCGACAAAUGG
This 358-nucleotide ribosomal RNA is filed under the name Odontophrynus americanus. RNAcentral describes it as "partial large subunit ribosomal RNA". It matches the Rfam family "Bacterial large subunit ribosomal RNA", at positions 2007 to 2515 of the family's 2925-position model. Lineage: Eukaryota; Metazoa; Chordata; Amphibia; Anura; Alsodidae. The record is from RNAcentral.